This 468-nucleotide ribosomal RNA is filed under the name uncultured bacterium. RNAcentral's name for it is "partial 16S ribosomal RNA". It matches the Rfam family "Bacterial small subunit ribosomal RNA", at positions 28 to 507 of the family's 1533-position model. The record is from RNAcentral.
GACGAACGCUGGCGGCGUGCUUAACACAUGCAAGUCGAACGGAAAGGCCCGGCUUUUGUGGGGUGCUCGAGUGGCGAACGGGUGAGUAACACGUGAGUAACCUGCCCUUGACUUUGGGAUAACUUCAGGAAACUGGGGCUAAUACCGGAUAGGAGCUCCUGCUGCAUGGUGGGGGUUGGAAAGUUUCGGCGGUUGGGGAUGGACUCGCGGCUUAUCAGCUUGUUGGUGGGGUAGUGGCUUACCAAGGCUUUGACGGGUAGCCGGCCUGAGAGGGUGACCGGCCACAUUGGGACGGAGCUACGGCCCAGACUCCUACGCGAGGCAGCAGUGGGGAAUAUUGCACAAUGGGCGGAACCCUAAUGCAGCAACGCCGCGUGCGGGAUGACGGCCUUCGGGUUGUAAACCGCUUUCGCCUGUGACGAAGCGUGAAUGACGGUAAUGGGUAAAGAAGCACCGGCUAACUACGUG